UACGUAGGGUGCAAGCGUUGUCCGGAAUUAUUGGGCGUAAAGAGCUCGUAGGCGGUUUGUCGCGUCGGAUGUGAAAACCCAGGGCUCAACCCUGGGCCUGCAUUCGAUACGGGCAGGCUCGAGUUCGGUAGGGGAGACUGGAAUUCCUGGUGUAGCGGUGAAAUGCGCAGAUAUCAGGAGGAACACCGGUGGCGAAGGCGGGUCUCUGGGCCGAUACUGACGCUGAGGAGCGAAAGCGUGGGGAGCGAACAGG
This 253-nucleotide ribosomal RNA is filed under the name uncultured bacterium. Its description in RNAcentral is "partial 16S ribosomal RNA". It matches the Rfam family "Bacterial small subunit ribosomal RNA", at positions 524 to 776 of the family's 1533-position model. The record is from RNAcentral.